This 528-nucleotide ribosomal RNA is filed under the name Triticum aestivum (bread wheat). RNAcentral's name for it is "partial small subunit ribosomal RNA". Lineage: Eukaryota; Viridiplantae; Streptophyta; Magnoliopsida; Poales; Poaceae. The record is from RNAcentral.
AUGAAUAAAACCUUCUAUGGUCAUACACCCAAUGAAAAUGGUUUGUUGGAUCUCAAUAGUAGUGAUACACAUAUUCAUAACGUUGAAGCCAAAAGAUGCAGAGUUGAUAAUGAUAGUGCAACAUAUUUGUGGCACUGCCGUUUGAGUCAUAUUGGUGUAAAGCGCAUGAAGAAACUCCAUACUGAUGGGCUUUUGGAAUCACUUGAUUAUGAAUCACUUGGUACUUGCGAACCAUACCUCAUGGGCAAGAUGACUAAAACGCCGUUCUCCGGAACUAUGGAGCGAGCAACAGAUUUAUUGGAAAUCAUACAUACUGAUGUAUGUGGUCCGAUGAAUGUUGAGGCUCGCGGCGGGUAUCGUUAUUUUCUCACCUUCACAGAUGAUUUGAGCAGAUAUGGGUAUAUCUACUUAAUGGAACAUAAAUCUGAAAUAGUUGAAAAGUUCAAAGAAUUUCAUAGUGAAGUGGAGAAUCAUUGUAACAAGAAAAUAAAGUUUUUCUGCGAUUUGAUCGCGGAGACGAAUAUUUGA